GACGAACGCUGGCGGCGUGCUUAACACAUGCAAGUCGAACGGAAAGGCCCUGCUUUUGUGGGGUGCUCGAGUGGCGAACGGGUGAGUAACACGUGAGUAACCUGCCCUUGACUUUGGGAUAACUUCAGGAAACUGGGGCUAAUACCGGAUAGGAGCUCCUGCUGCAUGGUGGGGGUUGGAAAGUUUCGGCGGUUGGGGAUGGACUCGCGGCUUAUCAGCUUGUUGGUGGGGUAGUGGCUUACCAAGGCUUUGACGGGUAGCCGGCCUGAGAGGGUGACCGGCCACAUUGGGACUGAGAUACGGCCCAGACUCCUACGGGAGGCAGCAGUGGGGAAUAUUGCACAAUGGGCGGAAGCCUGAUGCAGCAACGCCGCGUGCGGGAUGACGGCCCUCGGGUUGUAAACCGCUUUCGCCUGUGACGAAGCGUGAGUGACGGUAAUGGGUAAAGAAGCACCGGCUAACUACGUGCCAGCAGCCGCGGUGAUACGUAGGGUGCGAGCGUUGUCCGGAUUUAUUGGGCGUAAAGGGCUCGUAGGUGGUUGAUCGCGUCGGAAGUGUAAUCUUGGGGCUUAACCCUGAGCGUGCUUUCGAUACGGGUUGACUUGAGGAAGGUAGGGGAGAAUGGAAUUCCUGGUGGAGCGGUGGAAUGCGCAGAUAUCAGGAGGAACACCAGUGGCGAAGGCGGUUCUCUGGGCCUUUCCUGACGCUGAGGAGCGAAAGCGUGGGGAGCGAACAGGCUUAGAUACCCUGGUAGUCCACGCUGUAAACGGUGGGUACUAGGUGUGGGGUCCAUUCCACGGGUUCCGUGCCGUAGCUAACGCUUUAAGUACCCCGCCUGGGGAGUACGGCCGCAAGGCUAAAACUCAAAGGAAUUGACGGGGCCCCGCACAAGCGGCGGAGCAUGCGGAUUAAUUCGAUGCAACGCGUAGAACCUUACCUGGGUUUGACAUGGAUCGGGAGUGCUCAGAGAUGGGUGUGCCUCUUUUGGGGUCGGUUCACAGGUGGUGCAUGGCUGUCGUCAGCUCGUGUCGUGAGAUGUUGGGUUAAGUCCCGCAACGAGCGCAACCCUUGUUCACUGUUGCCAGCACGUUAUGGUGGGGACUCAGUGGAGACCGCCGGGGUCAACUCGGAGGAAGGUGGGGAUGACGUCAAGUCAUCAUGCCCCUUAUGUCCAGGGCUUCACGCAUGCUACAAUGGCUGGUACAGAGAGUGGCGAGCCUGUGAGGGUGAGCGAAUCUCGGAAAGCCGGUCUCAGUUCGGAUUGGGGUCUGCAACUCGACCUCAUGAAGUCGGAGUCGCUAGUAAUCGCAGAUCAGCAACGCUGCGGUGAAUAAGUUCCCGGGGCU
RNAcentral lists this ribosomal RNA (1346 nucleotides) under uncultured bacterium. Its description in RNAcentral is "partial 16S ribosomal RNA". It matches the Rfam family "Bacterial small subunit ribosomal RNA", at positions 28 to 1381 of the family's 1533-position model. The record is from RNAcentral.